This is a long non-coding RNA of Tripterygium wilfordii, 611 nucleotides long. RefSeq lists it as uncharacterized. Lineage: Eukaryota; Viridiplantae; Streptophyta; Magnoliopsida; Celastrales; Celastraceae. The record is from RefSeq and is a predicted model, not a curated record. The transcript is spliced from 2 exons.
UUAGGCUUGAUAGGAAAAGGUAUAGGAGGCCGUUAAGGAAGUGAAUCUAGAUUGGUGACUCUAAUCUGCUGCACUAUGUAUUUAUGUUUUUUCUCUUCUUUUUCCAGAUGUCGGCUUUGAUAUCUGCAAACAAGGAGUACAUUCUUCUUUAGCCUCUGCUUCUGUUGUUUUUUUUUCGGGCACCAACAUUAGAGAAAUUAUAAAGCUGAACUGUUGAUUUUUAUGGUAUGUAGAACUUGCAAGAUGAAAUGAUGGACCUGAUGGAUGUGAGUAAUGAAAUCCAAGAGACCCUGGGUAGAAGCUAUAAUGUGCCUGAUGACAUUGAUGAGGAUGAACUCAUUGGCGGUUGAAGAGGAGCUGGGUUUACCAACAUUGCCUCGGGCAUCUCUUCGUGGUUAGGGAAUGACUUUGCUGUUGCACUAUUGUCAUUUGAACACUGGCUGCGAAGCCUUUUUGUAAAGAUCUAUUGUGUAAAGAUCGAAUGUAGUCGUCUUCUGGCUUCUUCAAUUUUGCCGAUUCUCUUAAAUGUAUUCAACCCCACCUCAUAUCUAACCAACCUCUCUAUUUCAAUGUCAUAAUCCUCUGGGAAUAAACAACAAAGUAGGAAGCUA